Molecule: long non-coding RNA, 407 nt
Filed under: Salvia miltiorrhiza (redroot sage)
Lineage: Eukaryota; Viridiplantae; Streptophyta; Magnoliopsida; Lamiales; Lamiaceae
Description: long non-coding RNA (SMIL_LNC004186)
Source: RNAcentral
UGAAUUGAAGUAGUAAUAUAAGUCAAAUAAUUAAAAGGCUCUACAUAAUACAGCCUAAUAAUUAAUUAAGAGUGAGCUUGAAUUAAAAUAAAUAAUUACAAUUCAUAUAUAUAAAUUUAGAGUCCAAAUAAAAUAAUUAAAUUUGGACUGAAUAGUUAUUACAAGGCCCAACUGAGAUGAGAUUGUUGAGCUCAAAUAAUUAAAUAAAUUUGGGCCCAAAUGAAAUGGUAGCAGCCCAACUAAAAUAAUUAAUACUGGGCCCAAGUUAGAUAAUUAAACUUAGCCCAAUUAGUAAAAAAAAAAGAAAGGCCCAAAAUAAUUAAAAGCAAACCCAAAUCUAUUAUCUCUCCCACUCGGUCUCUCUCUCUUCUCAAAACAGGCGCCCCAUUUGGUUCUCUCUCUCUCUC